UGCUCGAAGGCGCGGGUAUCAAACAGGAUUAGAUACCCUGGUAGUCCGCGCAGUAAACGAUGGACACUCGCGGUUUGGCCCCUGCGGCUGAGCCGCCCAGCGAAAGCGUUAAGUGUCCCACCUGGGGAGUACGCCGGCAACGGUGAAACUCAAAGGAAUUGACGGGGGCCCGCACAAGCGGAGGAACAUGUGGUUUAAUUCGAUGAUACGCGAGGAACCUUACCCGGGCUUGAAAUGUGCAUGACGGGAGGCAGAGACGCCUCCUUCCUUCGGGCAUGCAUGUAGGUGCUGCAUGGUUGUCGUCAGCUCGUGCCGUGAGGUGUCGGCUUAAGUGCCAUAACGAGCGCAACCCCUUCCGCCGGUUACCAUCGGGUCAUGCCGGGGACUCCGGCGGCACUGCCGCCGCAAGGCGCGAGGAAGGCGGGGAUGACGUCAAAUCAGCACGGCCCUUACGUCCGGGGCCACACACGUGUUACAAUGGGGGGCACAGCGAGCUGGACCAGGGCGACCUGGUUCGAAUCAUGAAAUCCCCUCCCAGCUCGGACUGGAGUCUGCAACCCGACUCCACGAAGCCGGAUUCGCUAGUAAUCGCGCAUCAGCC
Molecule: ribosomal RNA, 601 nt
Filed under: uncultured bacterium
Lineage: Bacteria
Description: bacterial SSU rRNA
Rfam family: Bacterial small subunit ribosomal RNA
Source: RNAcentral